This 508-nucleotide ribosomal RNA is filed under the name Cyclophorus semisulcatus. RNAcentral describes it as "partial 16S ribosomal RNA". It matches the Rfam family "Bacterial large subunit ribosomal RNA", at positions 1815 to 2597 of the family's 2925-position model. The record is from RNAcentral. Lineage: Eukaryota; Metazoa; Mollusca; Gastropoda; Architaenioglossa; Cyclophoridae.
AUGUCUCUUUGGAUGAAAGAUAUAAGGAGUCUGGCCUGCCCGGUGAUGGAGUUUAACGGCUGCAGUAUCCUGACUGUGCAAAGGUAGCAUAAUAAUUUGCCUUUUAAUUGGAGGAUGGAAUCAAUGGCUUGACGAGAGCAAAACUGUCUUUUCUGUUUUUACUAGAAAUUAUCUUUUAGGUUAAAAGGCUUAAAUAUAACUAAAAGACGAUAAGACCCUGUUGAGCUUUAAAAAAAUGAAGUGAUUAUUUAAUAUUUAUUAAAUUAGUAGCGUGCUUAGUAUUUUGGUUGGGGCGACUGCGGAGUAUACAAAACCUCCGUUUUAUAAAAUUAAUUUCUGUUUUUGAUCCACAGUUUAUGAUAAGAGAAAUUAGUUACCAUAGGGAUAACAGCGCACCGCUCUUAGGGAGAUCAUAUUUCUAAGAGAGAUUGUGACCUCGAUGUUGGAUUAAGAUAUACUAGAAGGUGCAGGCGCUUUUUAAGUUAGUCUGUUCGACUAUUAAAUUCUU